This 968-nucleotide ribosomal RNA is filed under the name Microbacterium sp. URHE0004. RNAcentral describes it as "bacterial SSU rRNA". It matches the Rfam family "Bacterial small subunit ribosomal RNA", at positions 56 to 1037 of the family's 1533-position model. Lineage: Bacteria; Bacillati; Actinomycetota; Actinomycetes; Micrococcales; Microbacteriaceae. The record is from RNAcentral.
UGCAGUCGAACGGUGAAAGAGAGCUUGCUCUCUGGAUCAGUGGCGAACGGGUGAGUAACACGUGAGCAAUCUGCCCCUGACUCUGGGAUAAGCGCUGGAAACGGCGUCUAAUACCGGAUACGAGCUGCGAAGGCAUCUUCAGCAGCUGGAAAGAACUUCGGUCAGGGAUGAGCUCGCGGCCUAUCAGCUAGUUGGUGAGGUAAUGGCUCACCAAGGCGUCGACGGGUAGCCGGCCUGAGAGGGUGACCGGCCACACUGGGACUGAGACACGGCCCAGACUCCUACGGGAGGCAGCAGUGGGGAAUAUUGCACAAUGGGCGCAAGCCUGAUGCAGCAACGCCGCGUGAGGGACGACGGCCUUCGGGUUGUAAACCUCUUUUAGCAAGGAAGAAGCGAAAGUGACGGUACUUGCAGAAAAAGCGCCGGCUAACUACGUGCCAGCAGCCGCGGUAAUACGUAGGGCGCAAGCGUUAUCCGGAAUUAUUGGGCGUAAAGAGCUCGUAGGCGGUUUGUCGCGUCUGCUGUGAAAACCCGAGGCUCAACCUCGGGCCUGCAGUGGGUACGGGCAGACUAGAGUGCGGUAGGGGAGAUUGGAAUUCCUGGUGUAGCGGUGGAAUGCGCAGAUAUCAGGAGGAACACCGAUGGCGAAGGCAGAUCUCUGGGCCGUAACUGACGCUGAGGAGCGAAAGGGUGGGGAGCAAACAGGCUUAGAUACCCUGGUAGUCCACCCCGUAAACGUUGGGAACUAGUUGUGGGGUCCAUUCCACGGAUUCCGUGACGCAGCUAACGCAUUAAGUUCCCCGCCUGGGGAGUACGGCCGCAAGGCUAAAACUCAAAGGAAUUGACGGGGACCCGCACAAGCGGCGGANCAUGCGGAUUAAUUCGAUGCANCGCGAAGAACCUUACCAAGGCUUGACNUAUACGANAACGCUGCANAAAUGUAGAACUCUUUGGANACUCGUAAACNG